This 421-nucleotide ribosomal RNA is filed under the name uncultured bacterium. RNAcentral's name for it is "partial 16S ribosomal RNA". It matches the Rfam family "Bacterial small subunit ribosomal RNA", at positions 360 to 773 of the family's 1533-position model. The record is from RNAcentral.
AAUAUUGGACAAUGGGGGCAACCCGGAUCUAGCCAUGCCGCGUGUGUGAAGAAGGUCUUCGGAUUGUAAAGCACUUUAAGUAGGGAGGAAGGGCUUUAGGUUAAUACCCUGAAGUUUUGACUUUACCAACAGAAUAUGCACCGGCUAACUCUGUGCCAGCCGCCGCGGUCAUACAGAGGGUGCAAGCGUUAAUCGGAAUUACUGGGCGUAAAGAGCGCGUAGGUGGUUCAGUAAGAUGGGUGUGAAAUCCCCGGGCUUAACCUGGGAACUGCUUUCAUAACUGCUGAGCUAGAGUACGGUAGAGGGUAGUGGAAUUUCCUGUGUAGCGGUGAAAUGCGUAGAUAUAGGAAGGAACACCAGUGGCGAAGGCGACUACCUGGACUGAUACUGACACUGAGGUGCGAAAGCGUGGGGAGCAAAC